UGCCAGACUCCUACGGGAGGCAGCAGUGAGGAAUAUUGGUCAAUGGGCGGGAGCCUGAACCAGCCAUGCCGCGUGAAGGCGAGUGCCCUACGGGCGUUAAACUUCUUUUGUGCGGGAGCAAUAAGGGCCACGCGUGGCCCGAUGAGAGUACCGCACGAAUAAGCAUCGGCUAACUCCGUGCCAGCAGCCGCGGUAAUACGGGGGAUGCAAGCGUUGUCCGGAAUCAUUGGGCGUAAAGAGUUCGUAGGUGGCACGUUAAGUCUGGUGUUAAAUGCAGAGGCUCAACCUCUGUUCGGCACUGGAUACUGGCGAGCUUGAAUGCGGUAGAGGUAAAGGGAAUUCCUGGUGUAGCGGUGAAAUGCGUAGAUAUCAGGAGGAACAUCGGUGGCGUAAGCGCUUUACUGGGCCGUAAUUGACACUGAGGAACGAAAGCCAGGGUAGCAAAUGGGAUUAGAUACCCUCGUACAA
RNAcentral lists this ribosomal RNA (468 nucleotides) under uncultured bacterium. Its description in RNAcentral is "bacterial SSU rRNA". It matches the Rfam family "Bacterial small subunit ribosomal RNA", at positions 329 to 793 of the family's 1533-position model. The record is from RNAcentral.